UACAGAGGUCUCAAGCGUUGUUCGGAUUCAUUGGGCGUAAAGGGUGCGUAGGCGGGGCGGUAAGUCGGGUGUGAAAUCUUGGAGCUUAACUCCGAAACUGCAUUCGAUACUGCCGUGCUUGAGGACUGGAGAGGAGACUGGAAUUUACGGUGUAGCGGUGAAAUGCGUAGAUAUCGUAAGGAAGACCAGUGGCGAAGGCGGGUCUCUGGACAGUUCCUGACGCUGAGGCACGAAGGCCAGGGGAGCAAACGGG
RNAcentral lists this ribosomal RNA (253 nucleotides) under uncultured bacterium. RNAcentral describes it as "partial 16S ribosomal RNA". It matches the Rfam family "Bacterial small subunit ribosomal RNA", at positions 524 to 776 of the family's 1533-position model. The record is from RNAcentral.